CGCUAUCACGUCCUACGGGAGGCAGCAGUGGGGAAUAUUGCACAAUGGGCGCAAGCCUGAUGCAGCCAUGCCGCGUGUGUGAAGAAGGCCUUCGGGUUGUAAAGCACUUUCAGUCGUGAGGAAGGUAGUGUAGUUAAUAGCUGCAUUAUUUGACGUUAGCGACAGAAGAAGCACCGGCUAACUCCGUGCCAGCAGCCGCGGUAAUACGGAGGGUGCGAGCGUUAAUCGGAAUUACUGGGCGUAAAGCGCAUGCAGGUGGUUUGUUAAGUCAGAUGUGAAAGCCCGGGGCUCAACCUCGGAAUUGCAUUUGAAACUGGCAGACUAGAGUACUGUAGAGGGGGUAGAAUUUCAGGUGUAGCGGUGAAAAUGCGUAGAGAUCUGAAGGAAUACCGGUGGCGAAGGCGGCCCCCUGGACAGAUACUGACACUCAGAUGCGAAAGCGUGGGGAGCAAACAGGAUUAGAUACCCUGGUAG
This 474-nucleotide ribosomal RNA is filed under the name uncultured bacterium. Its description in RNAcentral is "bacterial SSU rRNA". It matches the Rfam family "Bacterial small subunit ribosomal RNA", at positions 327 to 793 of the family's 1533-position model. The record is from RNAcentral.